RNAcentral lists this ribosomal RNA (568 nucleotides) under uncultured bacterium. RNAcentral describes it as "bacterial SSU rRNA". It matches the Rfam family "Bacterial small subunit ribosomal RNA", at positions 338 to 916 of the family's 1533-position model. The record is from RNAcentral.
CCUACGGGAGGCAGCAGUGGGGAAUAUUGCGCAAUGGGCGAAAGCCUGACGCAGCGACGCAGCGUGAGGGACGAAGGCCUUCGGGUUGUAAACCUCUUUCAGCGGGGACGAAGCGAAAGUGACGGUACCCGCAGAAGAAGCACCGGCUAACUACGUGCCAGCAGCCGCGGUAAUACGUAGGGUGCAAGCAUUGUCCGGAUUUAUUGGGCGUAAAGAGCUCGUAGGCGGCUUGUCACGUCGGAUGUGAAAACUCGGGGCUCAACCCCGAGCCUGCAUUCGAUACGGGCUAGCUAGAGUGUUGCAGGGGAGACUGGAAUUCCUGGUGUAGCGGUGAAAUGCGCAGAUAUCAGGAGGAACACCGGUGGCGAAGGCGGGUCUCUGGGCAACUACCGACGCUGAGGAGCGAAAGCGUGGGGAGCGAACAGGAUUAGAUACCCUGGUAGUCCACGCCGUAAACGGUGGGCGCUAGGUGUGGGGAACCUUCCACGUUCUCUGUGCCGUAGCUAACGCAUUAAGCGCCCCGCCUGGGGAGUACGGCCGCAAGGCUAAAACUCAAAUGAAUUGACGG